UCGAGAAUCAUUCGCAAUGGGCGCAAGCCUGACGGUGCGACGUCGCGUGGAGGAUGAAGGUCUUCGGAUUGUAAACUCCUGUCAUGUGGGAUAAAUGGCCAGGGCAUGAAUAGUGCCUUGGAAUGAUAGUACCACAGGAGGGAGGGACGGCUAACUCUGUGCCAGCAGCCGCGGUAAUUCAGAGGUCCCGAGCGUUGUUCGGAUUUACUGGGCGUAAAGGGAGCGUAGGCGGUUUGGUGUGUCGAAUGUGAAAGCCCACAACUCAACUGUGGAAUGGCAUUCGAAACUACUGAGCUAGAGUACUGGAGAGGAGAGCGGAAUUCUUGGUGUAGCGGUGAAAUGCGUAGAUAUAAAGAGGAACACCGGUGGCGGAGGCGGCUCUCUGGACAGAUACUGACGCUGAGGCUCUAAAGUUAGGGGAGCAAACAG
RNAcentral lists this ribosomal RNA (429 nucleotides) under uncultured bacterium. RNAcentral describes it as "bacterial SSU rRNA". It matches the Rfam family "Bacterial small subunit ribosomal RNA", at positions 355 to 775 of the family's 1533-position model. The record is from RNAcentral.